Molecule: transfer RNA, 62 nt
Filed under: Anodontites trapesialis
Lineage: Eukaryota; Metazoa; Mollusca; Bivalvia; Unionida; Mycetopodidae
Description: tRNA-His
Source: RNAcentral
AAGUAGUUUAGUAAGAACAAUAGAUUGUGGUUCUGUGGGAGCUCUUUUAUGGGCCUUCAUUG